CACGUAAGAAUCUACCUCAUGGCCGGGACCAACAGUGGGAAACGUUGCUGCUAAUAACCCCGAUAUGCGCAUGCGUAAAGACUUCGGCGCCAAGAGAUGAGCUCGCGUCUGAUUAGCUAGUUGGUGAGGUAAAGACUUACCAAGGCGAUGAUCAGUAGCUGGUCUGAGAGGAUGAUCAGCCACAUUGGGACUGAGACACGGCCCAGACUUCUACGGGAGGCAGCAGUAGGGAAUUUUCCGUCAAUGAGCGAAAGCUUGACGGAGCAAUACAGCGUGGAGGAUGACGGCCCAUGGGUUGUA
RNAcentral lists this ribosomal RNA (300 nucleotides) under uncultured bacterium. RNAcentral's name for it is "bacterial SSU rRNA". It matches the Rfam family "Bacterial small subunit ribosomal RNA", at positions 114 to 427 of the family's 1533-position model. The record is from RNAcentral.